AAGCACGGGCAAAGAUCAUUCUGGACACUCGCUUUUUAAACACUUUGGUGUAUUAUGUUAACUUCAGGCACACAGGAUUUUUAGAGUCCUUUCAUAAUGUAAUUUUGAUGUAUGCUCCAAAGCGCCAUGCCUAUCCAUACUCAGUAUACCAAGCUAGAAACCAGCUUGCUGCCUUGGACUUUAACCACCACAGAGGCCGG
This is a long non-coding RNA of Dendronephthya gigantea, 200 nucleotides long. RefSeq lists it as uncharacterized. The transcript is spliced from 3 exons. The record is from RefSeq and is a predicted model, not a curated record. Lineage: Eukaryota; Metazoa; Cnidaria; Anthozoa; Malacalcyonacea; Nephtheidae.